AAUUUUAUUGUCAAGGGGUUGGUUAAAUAAAAUGGAUUGUAAAAAUGAA
RNAcentral lists this long non-coding RNA (49 nucleotides) under Cotesia glomerata. RNAcentral's name for it is "uncharacterized LOC123260060". Lineage: Eukaryota; Metazoa; Arthropoda; Insecta; Hymenoptera; Braconidae. The record is from RNAcentral.